This 249-nucleotide ribosomal RNA is filed under the name uncultured bacterium. Its description in RNAcentral is "partial 16S ribosomal RNA". It matches the Rfam family "Bacterial small subunit ribosomal RNA", at positions 57 to 305 of the family's 1533-position model. The record is from RNAcentral.
GCAAGUCGAGGGGUAACAGGAGUGCUUGCUCUUGCUGACGACCGGCGCACGGGUGCGUAACGCGUAUACAAUCUACCUUAUGCUGAGGGAUAGCCCUGAGAAAUUUGGAUUAAUACCUCAUAGUAUCAUAAAGCUGCAUAGUUUUAUGAUUAAAGGUUACGGCAUAAGAUGAGUAUGCGUCCUAUUAGUUUGAUGGUGUGGUAACGGCACACCAAGACUACGAUAGGUAGGGGCCCUGAGAGGGAGAUC